CAGUAGCCGCGGGAAUACGUAGGGUGCGAGCGUUGAUCGGAAUUACUGGGCGUAAAGCGGGCGCAGACGGUUACUUAAGCAGGAUGUGAAAUCCCCGGGCUCAACCUGGGAACUGCGUUCUGAACUGGGUGACUAGAGUGUGUCAGAGGGAGGUAGAAUUCCACGUGUAGCAGUGAAAUGCGUAGAGAUGUGGAGGAAUACCGAUGGCGAAGGCAGCCUCCUGGGAUAACACUGGCGUUCAUGCCCGAAAGCGUGGGUAGCAAACAGGAUUAGAGACCCCGGUAGUCCCUGUCUCUUAUAC
RNAcentral lists this ribosomal RNA (301 nucleotides) under uncultured bacterium. Its description in RNAcentral is "partial 16S ribosomal RNA". It matches the Rfam family "Bacterial small subunit ribosomal RNA", at positions 509 to 807 of the family's 1533-position model. The record is from RNAcentral.